This 492-nucleotide ribosomal RNA is filed under the name uncultured bacterium. RNAcentral's name for it is "partial 16S ribosomal RNA". It matches the Rfam family "Bacterial small subunit ribosomal RNA", at positions 29 to 507 of the family's 1533-position model. The record is from RNAcentral.
AGUGAACGCUGGCGGUAGGCCUAACACACGCAAGUCGAACGGCGGCACAGUAAGAGCUUGCUCUUACGGGUGGCGAGUGGCGGACGGGUGAGGAAUACAUCGGAAUCUACUUUUUCGUGGGGGAUAACGUAGGGAAACUUACGCUAAUACCGCAUACGACCUACGGGUGAAAGCAGGGGAUCUUCGGACCUUGCGCGAUUGAAUGAGCCGAUGUCGGAUUAGCUAGUUGGCGGGGUAAAGGCCCACCAAGGCGACGAUCCGUAGCUGGUCUGAGAGGAUGAUCAGCCACACUGGAACUGAGACACGGUCCAGACUCCUACGGGAGGCAGCAGUGGGGAAUAUUGGACAAUGGGCGCAAGCCUGAUCCAGCCAUACCGCGUGGGUGAAGAAGGCCUUCGGGUUGUAAAGCCCUUUUGUUGGGAAAGAAAAGCAGCAGGUUAAUACCCCGCUGUUCUGACGGUACCCAAAGAAUAAGCACCGGCUAACUUCGUG